CAAUAUACUCAAGAUAUUAUAUUUAAAAUUUUAUCGCACGAUAAUAUUUAUAUCGUUAUCGAAUAAAGACAAAAAUGAUCCCCCAUCACAUAAUAGAACACACAAUUUCACAUUGACCACACGAAUUAGAUUUCAAACAUUAUCCACGUAUAGGUUUAUUAUAUCUGCUGAACUUCAGCCACUACAUCUCCGUCGUCGUCCCUCUCUCCGCUGUGAGUUUCCUCUCUCACUUCCUCCCUCUUUCUUUAAGCCGCUCAGCCCUCUGUCUUCUCUAUCCGUUUUUUCUUCUUUCUUUCUUUCU
This 301-nucleotide long non-coding RNA is filed under the name Carica papaya (papaya). Its description in RNAcentral is "long non-coding RNA (CPAP_LNC009751)". Lineage: Eukaryota; Viridiplantae; Streptophyta; Magnoliopsida; Brassicales; Caricaceae. The record is from RNAcentral.